GUUUGAGUGGGAUGACCGACGCUCACAAUUUAAAAUUGUUGGCGUGGGAUGGCCGACGCAUAGGCUCCACAACUAAAUCAACAUGUUUUUAUUAGGUUAACUUAAGUGGGGAAUUUUUCAGAAUUCGCUUUUCUCCUUCACCGGGAGUUUUCACUUGACCCUUUUCCCCUUGCCACCACUUGCAUUAUUCCACUUUCCCCCUUACAAGGUGCCAAUUUGUAGGGAUUGAGCGAAGAAUGGGAGUGACCGAGAGAGUAUCGACGCGAGCUGCUGUAGCGAGGCGUGCUCCUUCGACGAAGACGAGGCUUGUGAGAAGAGUGUGCAACGAGCUUCUGUCACCCUUCAGCUCUGUGACGAAGUGGUGGUUGUUCACUCCCUUCUCUGCGAACACCAAAGCGGCUUCCUUCUAUACGACGGAGUGGUGGUUGGGAGGCGCGAUUGGGAGGCCAUUGAGUGGCAAAAUCUGGAAUUGCAAGGCGAGGGGUUUUCGUUCUCACUAGACAGAUUUUUUGAAGCGUUUAGGUGGUGCUAUGAUGGGAGGUGGUCUUGUGAUUGGAAUCAAUGUGUUUGGGUUAAGUAAACACUUUGGAUCGGAGGUGAAAGUUCUGUUGGCAGCAAUACACAAGAUCAGUUCAGUCGACGAUAAUGACAAAGCUAUUGUUCGUCGUCCUUUAGCCGACGCAAACAGUCUUUGCAUCGAUGAUUUUGGAGUCUACACUGUGCCGUCGCGAGACCGACGCCCUAGACGUAUUGGCGUGGGCUUUUGCAUUGUUGCGUUCUAUUUUGGCCCACGCAAAUCUCUAAUAUUCUUGUAGUGAUUGGAUGUAUGACUGAUUCAUUUAAAUAAAAUGUUCUGUGGUUGAUGAA
Molecule: long non-coding RNA, 867 nt
Organism: Vigna unguiculata (cowpea)
Lineage: Eukaryota; Viridiplantae; Streptophyta; Magnoliopsida; Fabales; Fabaceae
Source: RefSeq, a predicted model, not a curated record